Molecule: long non-coding RNA, 1134 nt
Organism: Oncorhynchus tshawytscha (Chinook salmon)
Lineage: Eukaryota; Metazoa; Chordata; Actinopteri; Salmoniformes; Salmonidae
Source: Ensembl
AGAAUAGGACCUGCCCUGAACGAGGUUCUCCUCUACCCCCAGUCCCCUCAGAAAGACUAGGACCUGCCCUGAACGAGGUUCUCCUCUACCCUCAGUCCCCUCAGAAAGACUAGGACCUGCCCUGAACGAGGUUCUCCUCUACCCUCAGUCCCCUCAGAAAGACUAGGACCUGCCCUGAACGAGGUUCUCCUCUACUCUCAGCCCCCUCAUACAGAAUAGGACCUGCCCUGAACGAGGUUCUCCUCUACCCUCAGUCCCCUCAGACAGAACAGGACCUGCCCUGAAUGAGGUUCUCUACCCUCUGUCCCCUCAGAAAGACUAGGACCUGCCCUGAAUGAGGUUCUCUACCCCCAGUCCCCUCAGAAAGAAUAGGACCUGGUUUGUGAUCUAAAAAAAAUCAGACAAUAUCAGGAACUGCAUCUCAGCUGUACUUACUGUCUGUUGGUGGGGGGCGCUUAACAGAAGGUCCACUAUAGGGCCCUGGGCAACAUGUGCACUAUAUAGGGAAUGAGGGGGGGGUGUGACUGAGUGAAGUCAUCCACUCUGCCCUCAGUCCCCUCAGGGGGGGGUGUGACUGAGUGAAGUCAUCCACUCUGCCCUCAGUCCCCUCAGGGGGGGGGGGUGUGACUGAGUGAAGUCAUCCACUCUGCCCUCAGUCCCCUCAGGGGGUGACUGAGUGAAGUCAUCCACUCUGCCCUCAGUCCCCUCAGGGGGGGUGUGACUGAGUGAAGUCAUCCACUCUGCCCUCAACAGGAGAACUCUGGACCAGACUGACUAGGGAGGUGUUUACCCCGGUGGUCGUUACGACACCGUCACUUCCAGAAGGAAUUAACAGUGGAUCAAAAUGUAAAUAUUACGUUUUAUUGUAAAGAAGGAAUAAUAUGUUGGGAUGUAAAUAAAUUAGUUUGAUGGUUAGUUGUUGUUUGUUGUUUUGACAUAUGUAAUAUUAAAGGUGAGUCUGUGUCGUCAUUAAAGGUGUGAGCAGCAUGAUCCAUAGGACUGACUAUAACCAACAGCAUUUUAUACCCAACUGUUACUCACAAUUCAGCUUGACCACUGAGGAAAUGUGUUUGGUAAUGCUAACCUGCCUGUUAAAUAUAUACUGAACAAACAUGUCAAUGAUUUAAACUCCGU